RNAcentral lists this non-coding RNA (21 nucleotides) under Caenorhabditis elegans. Lineage: Eukaryota; Metazoa; Nematoda; Chromadorea; Rhabditida; Rhabditidae. The record is from RNAcentral.
UUUUCUCUAUUUUGAAUACAA